GAUGAAGAACGUAGCGAAAUGCGAUAAGUAAUGUGAAUUGCAGAAUUCAGUGAAUCAUCGAAUCUUUGAACGCACCUUGCGCCCUUUGGACAUUCCGAAGGGCAUGCCUGUUUGAGUAUCAUGAACACCUCAACUCUCACGGCUUGUCCGUGAUGAGCUUGGACUUUGGGGGUCUUGCCGGCCUGUGGUCGGCUCCUCUCAAAUGGAUCAGCUUGCCAGUGUUUGGUGGCAUCACAGGUGUGAUAACUAUCUGCGCUUGUGGUUUUCCAUCAGAUAACCUUCAGUGAUAUGGAGGUUCGCUGGAGCUCACAAAUGUCUCUCCUUAGUGAGGACAGCUCUUUGAACGUUUGAUCUCAAAUCAGGUAGGACUACCCGCUGAACUUAAGCAGAUCAAUAAGCGGAGGA
This 405-nucleotide unclassified non-coding RNA is filed under the name soil metagenome. RNAcentral's name for it is "partial contains 5.8S ribosomal RNA, internal transcribed spacer 2, and large subunit ribosomal RNA". The stretch from base 1 to 121 matches the Rfam family "5.8S ribosomal RNA", at positions 35 to 154 of the family's 154-position model. The record is from RNAcentral.